This is a long non-coding RNA of Varanus komodoensis (Komodo dragon), 173 nucleotides long. RefSeq lists it as uncharacterized. The record is from RefSeq and is a predicted model, not a curated record. The transcript has 4 exons. NCBI's taxonomy places the organism in Eukaryota, Metazoa, Chordata, Lepidosauria, Squamata, Varanidae.
UGUAUCAAAUUCUUCCUUCCAAGUCCUUGGUUGGUUCUUGGUAGCUCAAUCCAGGGAGAUGUGCCAUCUUUUGGUCUGGGCUGCGUUCCUCAUGGAACUUCUGAAAGCAAGCGCUGGACAGUCGGUUGACCAAACUAAAGGUACCGUGACUGUGAGUGAAGGGGAUCCUGUAC